Molecule: ribosomal RNA, 274 nt
Filed under: uncultured bacterium
Lineage: Bacteria
Description: partial 16S ribosomal RNA
Rfam family: Bacterial small subunit ribosomal RNA
Source: RNAcentral
AUACGGAGGGUGCAAGCGUUACACGGAAUCACUGGGCGUAAAGCGCGCGCAGGCGGCUAUUUAAGUUGGAUGUGAAAGCCUACGGCUCAACCGUAGAACUGCAUCCAAAACUAUUUAGCUAGAGUGUGGGAGAGGAAGAUGGAAUUAGUUGUGUAGGGGUAAAAUCCGUAGAGAUAACUAGGAAUACCAAAAGCGAAGGCAAUCUUCUGGAACACUACUGACGCUGAGGCGCGAAAGCGUGGGGAGCAAACGGGAUUAGAAACCCUAGUAGUCC